ACAUAGAGAAAUAAAAACAAAAGACGAGAGUACGAAAAACUCUUGUUGUCCCCUUGUUUCUUCUUAUUUUUUUU
Molecule: non-coding RNA, 74 nt
Filed under: uncultured eukaryote
Lineage: Eukaryota
Source: RNAcentral